RNAcentral lists this ribosomal RNA (1469 nucleotides) under uncultured Bordetella sp. RNAcentral describes it as "partial 16S-23S ribosomal RNA intergenic spacer". It matches the Rfam family "Bacterial small subunit ribosomal RNA". The record is from RNAcentral. Lineage: Bacteria; Pseudomonadati; Pseudomonadota; Betaproteobacteria; Burkholderiales; Alcaligenaceae.
GUUCGAUCAUAGCUCAGAUUGAACGCGCUGGCGGGAUCUUACAUCGCAGAUCGACAGCAGCACGGACUUCGGUCUGGUGGCGAGUGGCGAACGGGUGAGUAAUGUAUCCCGGAACGUGCCUAGUAGCAGGGGAUAACUACGCAGCGUAGCUAAUACCGCAUACGCCCUUCGGGGAAAGCAGGGGACCUUCGGGCCUCGCACUAUUAGAGCGACGAUAUCGGAUUAGCUAGUUGGUGGGGUAACGGCUCACCAAGGCGACGAUCCGUAGCUGGUUUGAAGGACGACCAGCCAUGGGACUGGGGCCACGGCCCGAACUCCUACGGGAGGCAGCAGUGGGGAAUUUUGGACAAUGGGGAAACCCUGAUCCAGUCAUCCCGCGUGUGCGAUGAAGGCCUUCGGGUUGUAAAAGCACUUUUUUGGCAGGGGAAGAAACGGCACGGGAUAGCCCCGUGCAACUGACAAUACCUGCAGAAUAAGCACCGGCUAACUACGUGCCAGCAGCCGCGGUAAUACGUAGAUUGCAAGCGUUAAUCGGAAUUACUGGGCGUAAAACGUCGCGGGCGGUUCGGAAAGAAAGAUGUGAAAUCCAGAACGCUUUGGAACUGCAUUUUUAACUACCGAGCUAGAGUGUGUCAGAGGAGGUGGAAUUCCGCGUGUAGCAGUGAAAUGCGCGGAGUAAUGAGGAGAACACCGAUGGCGAAGGCAGCCUCCUGGGAUAACGCGGCCGCUCAUGCACGAAAGCGUGGGGAGCAAACAGGAUUAGAUGCCCUGGUAGUCCACGCCUAAACGUCAACUAGCUGUUGGGGCCUUCGGGCCUUGGUAGCGCAGCUAACUUGCGUGGGGAUUGACCGCCUGGGGAGGUACGGUCGCAAGACAAAACUCAAAGGAAUUGACGGGACCCACUGGCGAUUGGAUGAUGUCUGGAUUAAUUCGAUGCAACGCGAAAAACCUUACCUACCCUUGACAUGUCUGGAACUGAAGAGAUUUGGGGUGCUCGCCAGAGAACCGGAACACGGGUGCUGCAUGGCUGUCGUCAGCUCGUGUCGUGAGAUGUUGGGUUAGAGUCCCGCAACGGGCACAACCUUAUCAAUGUAGUUGCUACGAAGGGCACUCUAAUGAGACUGCCGGUGACAAACCGGAGGAAGGUGGGGAUGACGACCAGGUCCUCAUGGCCCUUAUGGGUAGGACUUCACACGUCAUACAAUGGUCGGGACAGAGGGUCGCCAACCCGCGAGGAGCCAAUCCCAGAGAAACCCGAUCGUAGUCCGGAUCGCGGUCUGCAACUCGACUGCGUGAAGUCGGAAUCGCUGUUAAUCAUGGUCAGCAUGUCGCGGUGAAUACGUUCCCGGGUCUUGUACACACCGCCGAUCACACCAUGGGAGUGGGUUUUACCAGAAGUAGUUAGCCUAACCGUAAGGAGGGCGAUUACCACGGUAAGUUCGCGGCUAGGUGAAGUCGUAACAAAGUAA